Papaver somniferum (opium poppy) is the source of this 1380-nucleotide long non-coding RNA. RefSeq lists it as uncharacterized. NCBI's taxonomy places the organism in Eukaryota, Viridiplantae, Streptophyta, Magnoliopsida, Ranunculales, Papaveraceae. The transcript has 3 exons. The record is from RefSeq and is a predicted model, not a curated record.
UUCAUGAAUGGCGAAUUAGAAGAUUCCUCAGCUAAUUUCAUGAUCAGAAGUAGACCCCGGAACAGUGGUGAAGCUCCUGUUGGGUAGGAAGUUGUGGAUCAUAUGUUGUUACUUGGUUACAAGUGUUUUGGCAAAGCUUUUGUUUUACUUCUAGAUUUCAGAUAUAUGGUUCAUGGACAUCCAUCUAAGUUUUUUUUCUUUUUUUCUUUUGUAUAUCGCAGAUCCAGCAUUGGCAGCGAAAAACCAUGCUUUACAUUUGGGAAUUUGUUUUCUUGCAGUCCCAUCAAUACUUCUCAAUUUCAAUGUUGAUUAUAAUGCAAAACUUCAUGUUCUUUCUGAUGGUGAAUUUUCCUUGCUGAACAUAUCCUUGCAAUCGGUUGAACGCAGAGAUAUCGCCUUAAAUGAUACAUACUGUGGACUUUUCAUGUUUCUUUUUUCAUUGGAUAAUUUUUAAACAUGUUGGUAACUAUCUUGAUAGUGUGGUAAAACAUAACAAGGAGACCGGACGGACCACAUCCAACAACUUGUCAUCUGGACCUGAUGGUAACAAACUCUUUUUCUUUUUUCAUUUACUAAUAUUUCUUGUUUCUGUAUUUGCUCUUUACUAACUACUUUCUCCGCAGUUGUAGACACUUCUAACAACUUUCAAGGCACUGAUGGAUCCUUAGGCACAGUCUUUUGUAAUUGAUGGCGAGCAAUGCAAAGACGAAGCACAACCAGAACUCUGUAAGCGUAGUUGAGUCAUGCCUCCUUCGAGUUUGUGUGUUUCUAUUGAUUCUAUCUUGUUCGAUUUCUUAUGUAAUGUCGAUCACUUUCUCUUAAUACUGCCUGGUUCGUUGAUGUUUGAAUCCCAUUUCACAAUGUGAUUUCAAGCUUCUGGAAUAUAUUAGAGGACCCGAUGAAUUAUACCUUGGCCUUCUUUACAAUGUUAUUGAUCGCUAAUUCCUCCAUGUAUAUGGUGUGCUUUCAUUUGUGCAAGAAGAAUUCUGGAGCUGCAGGGCAAAGACGCUUCAAGGGUGAGGCAUGUGGUACUGAAUAUUGCACAAUCUCGGUGUAUUGACAUGUAAUUGAGGAUAUUGUUGCACUCAUCCAAGAUUCAGACAUGGUUAUUCCUUAGGCUGUGUGCAAAUGAUGCAAUUGUUAAAUUGAGGGGAACCCUGUGAUCAAAUUAAAGCUAAGCGACAUCCUAGCGGCAGAAUUUUGAGGAGCUCUUGCAGUGUGAGUGCACACACUGCACUUCCAUUGGGGUCGUCCUUCAGAAAUAUUGUUCGAGGCAGCUGUUCCUAUAUACCCUUUUUGGAGAACAUGUUUUCAUACUGAUAGUUCACUGUAAUAGCAUUUAUAUAUAUCAAGAAUCAAGAUGCAUGUAAGCUAUUGUGA